GUCUCAUUCAAGCCUAGUCAUGCCUUUUGGUCUGUAUAAUGCCCUAGCAGUAUUCCAGGCCCUUGUAGAUGAUGUGUUGACAGACAUGCUGAACAGAUUUGUGUUUGUAUACCUGGACAACAUCCUGAUCUACUCAAGAUCCCUGUCUGAGCACGAGCAGCAUGUGCGCCUGGUCCUCCAACGCUUGUUGAAGAACAAACUGUUUGCUAAGGCUGAGAAGUGCGAAUUUCAUGUGACUAAAAUCUCCUUUUUGGGUUUCAUCAUUGCGCAGGGGAGAUGAGGAUGGACUCCGCUAAGGUCUCCGCAGUAACUGAUUGGCCCAUCCCAUCUACACGCAAACAGUUACAGCGCUUUUUGGGGUUCGCAAACUUCUACAGAUUUAUUCAAGGCUACAGUCACAUUGCUGCCCCGCUCACAGCUCUAACCUUGCUCUCUAUCCCCUCUUCCUGGACCAGGGAGGCCGAGGCUGCAUUCCAGGAGCUAAAACAAUGCUUCGCCUCGGCUCCCGUUUUGGUUCAACCCAACCCCGGACUCCAAUUCAUUGUUGAGGUGGACGCAUCGGACAUGGGGGUAGGUGCAGUACUUUCCCAGCGGGCAAAAUGUCAUGAUAAGCUCCACCCCUGUGCUUUUCUCUCCCGCAGACUCUCCCCAGCGAGAGAAAUUACGACAUCGGCAAUCGUGAACUGCUCGCUGUUGAGUUAGCACUGGAGGAAUGGCGCCAUUUGUUGGAGGGGUCUGAACAUCCCUUUCUUGUGUGAACAGACCACAAGAACCUCUCAUACAUCCAAUCUGCAAAGCGGCUGAACUUAAGGCAAGCCAGGUGGGCUCUAUUUUUUUUGAUCGGUUUAACUUCACCUUGUCUUAUCACCCCGGCUCUCAUAAUUCCAAGCCAGAUGCCCUCUCCAGAGUGUUCUCUGCGACGAUUCCAAUCCGGAUCCCAUCAGCAUCCUCCCAGCCACUCGCUUUGUGGGGGCAGUGACCUGUGAUAUCGAGGCCAUUGUCAGGCAGGACCAGGACCAACAGACCAACCCAGAUAUCCCCGCCUGGUCCAUCUCCUGCAACUAGUCCACUCCUGCUCGAGUGCCCCACGGACUUUCCUCCAUUCCCGGAUACCCAUUGUAAGUCGCUUUGGAUAAAAGCUGCAGCUAAAUAAGUAAAUGUCAAUGUAAUGCAAGUGAUCAUAGGCUUAGUAGCAUAAGAAUGGAUGCAGAGGAAACGGCUAGCCAAGCUCUGUCCAAAGUAGGGGAAAAAACUUACUAGUUUACAUGUUUUUUAUAUUGAUUGUUUAAACCAUAAACAGAAAUGUAAAAAUGACAAGUAGUUUUACUGGAGUUCCGGACGGAUAUAGAGAGAGCAACAGCUCCACCUCCUCGUGACCUUCUCAUACACUACAGAAGAAUGACAGCACAGAGAAACACGAUUUUAAAAAAGUAUGGAGGAGGAGAGAUAGACGAAGGGAGGGGUGGAGAGGAGGCGUAGGAAGACAUGGUCAUAUGUGUGUGUGUGUGCUUGAGCGUGGGUGUGAGUGUGUGUCUCCUAUUCAGUCCUGCUGGCCUUGUGCUUCUCUUCUGUUAGCUGAAGGUUGCGCCUUGGGCUCCAAUGAAAAGAACCCAUCGGCAAGCAGUGAGCACCAUGUUCCCGUGUGUGUGUGUGUGUGUGUCUUGUGUGUGCAGAAUAUAUACACACACACACGCGCAGGCAGGUAGCCUUGGGCACCCAGGACCCACACACAUUGAAGACACGCUCUCCCUUUGUUCCUUCCAAACAGCGCUAUAGAAAAGUAAUAAAGACAGGAGAGAUCUGACAGCCAA
This is a long non-coding RNA of Micropterus salmoides (largemouth bass), 1811 nucleotides long. RefSeq lists it as uncharacterized. The transcript is spliced from 2 exons. The record is from RefSeq and is a predicted model, not a curated record. Lineage: Eukaryota; Metazoa; Chordata; Actinopteri; Centrarchiformes; Centrarchidae.